Long non-coding RNA from Monomorium pharaonis (pharaoh ant), 15464 nucleotides. RefSeq lists it as uncharacterized. Lineage: Eukaryota; Metazoa; Arthropoda; Insecta; Hymenoptera; Formicidae. The transcript has 2 exons. The record is from RefSeq and is a predicted model, not a curated record.
UGAAAUUCAUUAUAGUAGUAAUUAAUCCUACCGACCCUCGCGGACAUAUUCGGACCUCAUCGCGCGAUACAUUCCUUCCCUCCCCACCGGGAUACGUCGCGUUACGGGCGCUUCUCAAGUCCUCGCGGCGUUUCUUUUCACUUUCGUCCCCCCUUUCCUUACCCUACAUCGACGACGCAUCGCUGACACGGCAAACAGUUUCGCUUCCGGACUUCGCCGAGAACUUUCUCAAUGAAGGGACUCAAGAAAUGUGACUCACCUCUAUCUACGUUGGAGAAUUAUUCUUCCCUCCCCUGUUCCCUCCUCUGUUUCCUCCUCUCCGUGUAUCAUUACUGAGAAGGUAUCGAUACGAUCUCCAACAAAAAGUGACGUUACGUUGUUAGGAGCACAACUGUUGAAAUUUUAGCGUGUAUUUCGAUUCCGCUAUUGGUUCUAAACUUUAUAAAUUAGCGAACAAAUGUUUCUGAUAACUGUUAAUAAUAUUUUACACACUGUCUACGUGUAGUCUUAGUUUUUAAAAAUAUCGGACGUGACAAUUUGGAUAACUAACCUGCAACAUUCCACUUGUCCACCUGUCACCGUAUAUUUCAAUGCUUAUCUUCGUUUUUAUUUGAUAUCAUUGUAAUAAUUUUUUUUAACACCGUUAUGCCAAGCGUUAUGUAUAUUUUUUCAGUUCAAAAGCAUAAUUUUGUUAGCUUGUUUUUAUAAAAAAAGAAAUUACACGGUAAACGGAGUUUAAUUUUGGUAAUAUAUUCUAUAUAAUUUCUAAGUUGAUUGAAACAUUUUAACGUUUCGAUCAUAUCUCCUUAAUAAGAAAUUCUCGUUGCUAAAUUUUUAAUAACGAGACUUCCUAUCGCCUUCCGUCAUUUGGAAUUAUACAUUUCUGAUUGUCGAACGAAAUUUAUUACAUCGAGGGGAUUAAUUUGACAUUACACUUUCGAGAUUUCUUCGCGAUUUUUUUCCAAGCUCGCAAGAUAAAGAGCGGAAUAAUACAAAGCUUCUUGCUGUGGUUUCCUUUAAUAAUUCUCAGAUACAAAUUGGGUCACGAAUUUCCGUCAUUGAACCGAACAAAAUUAAUAAUGACAGCAGCUGUUCGGCAUAAGACUUUAAAGAGCUCUCUUGCGCUCUCGGCGUGUCGGGAUUGAUAGAUUCCAUCAAUUCGGAUGUCGAUUCGCGGUUUUUCGAGCAUCGCCUUAAUGGCGUUACCGUUAAACGUAUUUGCGGGAAUACGUUAUUAUGUACAGGAGCACCGGGAAAGGCGAGAAUAUCCCGACGAUUUCUUCUCGCGAUGUCAUCUAAGAAUCUUAUCUCUGUAAUAACAUAUCCGAGAGUUUCAGCGCGCCGCUUAACUUUAUUAUAAAUAUCUUUGCCGUACGGAGAUCCGUAUCGUAUCGAGGGCGAUUCAAUUAUCUCGCGCAUGAAACAUUUAAACGUAUAUUUCGCGAAUUGAAUUAAUUAUCCGUAUCCGACUUGCAUACCAGCGAGUAAAAUCGCGAGUCCGCGAUAAACGUGGCGUCCAUCAUCCUCUGUUAAUUUAUCAUUUUUAUUCUCUCCUUGGACAGUUUCCUUCCACCGUGCGUUCUGGAUAAAAGUCGUCCGAUUUACCGCAUCCAGUACCGUUUAAAAGGGUAUUCUAGUUUAAAGCGUGAGAGAUUCGCCUACUUUUCGCAGGUUUUUUUAAAAACUGUCGCACACAUUUUUCCUAUGCUUUUAUUUAUCUGCUUAUUCAUAUUAUUUAAUAGAUAUCUACAAAUUUUUGUAUGGCUCAAUUAUGUGUUACGUAAAAUUAAAUAAAGCCAAACACAUUUUUCAAAUCAGUUGACAUUUCUGAAAAAAGCUAGGUACUUAAAAAUAAGUAUCGAUUUCUUAAAAUAAAAUUGAUUAAAUUUAACGAAGAAACAGUUAAUUUAUAGAUCCUGUAAUCUUGGUUUACGGUUGUUAGAUAUGUAGUUUACAUUAUAUAUAUACAAAAGUUGAAGUCGAUAACCUCUUAGAAACUUUAAAUUUCUACAACACAAAUGCUGAUAAACAUUCAGCCGUACAAAAAUCUGUAGAUAUCUGCUAAAUUUGUACAACUAGAUGUGUAAAAGCUUAGAGGAAUGUGUGCGGCAGGUUUCCUUUUUAAAAGUUUCGCAAAAUAGGUCACUCUUUUCUGCGCUCUGGAUCAGAAUACCGUCUUAAAUCAAGAUCUCAACUCGCUUCUUAACUCGACGAUCGCACACGCGUGCGACACAGGAAAGAGAAUAGACACAGGAUCCUCCCGUAUAUUCGAUCCGCAGCAGAUGUCUCGAUAGAAACCGAUGAUUAAAUGAAGAACAGCUCCUUAUCCAGCGCUAUGAAAUUAAUUAAUCGGCCUCUUCUUCCCCUCGCUUUUGCAUCGAUCUAAUCCAUUCCGGUGGAUUGUUAAAUAAUGCGCGAUCCCCUAAUCGAAGCCGACGCGCGCUAUUUCGAUCCCCCGAGCGGCGAACAGACGUGAAUUUUGAAUAAAUUUCAGAAGAAAGCGCGUCUCGAUUACACUUGGAACUCGAUCGCGGCACUUCAGAUUAAUCGACGCGACUUCCGAUGGAUUUUUAAACCGAUCCUACCGCGAUUGAAUUUAUAGUCGUAUCUAUAGAGCCGACUCGAUAUGCACUUUGUGUCCGCGACGUCCCGUCUCGACUAAUAUUUUCAUUCAUUCAGGCUAAUCAGGAAGACGCAGAGAGCAAUUUUCGUUAGCGUCGGAUUCCGGAAGUGCACUGCGUCGCGAGAAUAUAAAAAAAAGAAACGAUCUUUUCGAGAAAAUCGUUUGCAGCCUUCGGAGAUUAAACGCUCAUACAUUAAGGGAAAAGAAAUUGUUGAUUUGAUUCACCAAAUAUUUCAACUUGAUUAAAUAUCUUUGGCUCAGGUAAUUAAAUAUUUAACCGGAGUACACAAAAUUCUUCAAUAUGCACUUUAUUUCAUGUAUUUCAGUUAAAUAUACUUUCUGAAUCUUGUAGAAUGAAAAAUGAGCAAUUAUUCGCUACUCUGUAAGAAUAAAAAUUUACUCUAAAUACUAAACAGGAUUUCUAUAGAAGGAAUUUUUUGUACUUUUAUUAAAAUAGCAAGUGACACGAAUAAUUGCACAAAUACAAUUUUCACUCUCUGUAAGCGAUGCUUCUAUGUACGAAAUAUAGAAAAUAUAAAUAUUUGAAUUGAAAAGAAUUUAAUCAAAUUGAAAAUUUAUUGAAAUUAACAACGUGUUUUUUUCUCCCCGGCGCACCGAAAUAUCCCUCGCAAUAAAAAUGCAAUCGCUCGCAUAACCAAAACUCCAUAUCUCACCGUGAGUUCCGCGCGCUCACGCUCACGGUGUCGGUUAUCCCAUAAAGGACAAGAAUUGACUGCGAAUUUCUCAAGGAUUCCGAAGUUUCGGAGGCACGAAAAGCUCGCGGCCGAAAGCCGUCGCAGCUUUAUCUCGCGAAGAGCAACGCGAAUCAGUUUACAGCCGGAGAGGGGAACGCGCACACUGUAUUAUUCAGUCGGGGGGGGGGGAGGGGGAAUAAAGGGAAGGAAGCCGCGAGUUGUGCUCUCGCAAGAGCGAGGCUAAGCUCACGCCGAAGGGCGAAUUAAGCGUCGAACCCGCGAUCAGGAACUUUCAGAGGCAACAAAUCGGACUCCGAGCUGAUUGGACGCGCGAUGCCGCGCGGAAGGAAUACGGAGACACCGCGAGGAAACUCGAAAAUGAAAAGGGGAAAGAGGAGGAAUAAAAAAAAAACAGGAAAACGAACGAAAGAAAGCAAGGGCAGAGAGAGAGAGAGAGAGAGAGAGAGAGAGAGAGAGAGAGGAGGGGGGAGAACGGAGAGGGGAAUAAAGAAGGCGGAGAAGAUCGAUGUGUCGUCGUCGUCGUCAUCCUCCGAAUCGCGAACGCGAAUAACGUCGCGGGAGAGUAUCAGUCGGCGGAGGUAAUCUCGCUACUUCGGCGGCUCAUUGAAAUCCCACGCUAAAUUUCAAUCUGACGUGUACAAAAGUCAGGGGCCCUUUCCCCUUCUCCCCCUUCCCCCGGUCGCCAACCCUUCCCCGUUCGCCCGCCCAUCCCGAUUCACAGACUCCGUUUCGAGACUCCGUUAUAUCGGUGGGACUCGAGCUCCAGGCAACGGUCCAUUUCCGCGAUCCUCAUCUUCCCCGUCUUCCCUCUCUCUCUCUCUCUCUCUCUCUCUCUCUCCUUUUGCUACCGCCUUCGAUUCCUCCACGAACACACGCGACGUCUGGACUAAUGUAUACGCCGUAUACGGGGUGUCCCGAAACCUGGAGCCUCUUCUCUCCCGAGCGUACCUGCUGCUUGGGAGAACGUCUAAAUCUAUGUAUCGGGUUCUUGUAAAUAUUUGAGCAACGGAUUGACAUAAAAUUACGGACUCUCCCGGAAGGAUUCGAGGAGGAUCGCGAGGAGGAACGGGGGAGGAGGGGGGGGGGGAGAGAGAGAAGAAUCCGGCGCGAAUGAUUUAUGCGGGAGGACGAUACUGAAAUUUUACUAAAAAUGUAUGUACUAAGAGCUUCCUGGCUUGCGAGCCUUCCGGCUUUGUGAGUUCUCAGAAACUGCGCGCUCCUCUCGUGCGCGAUACUCUCGUCAUUUCAAUAAGUUGGGAAAUGAAAAUUAGAGACGCUCAAUAAAUUCUUAAAUUUUACAUCACCCGACACGAAACCAGCACAUUGACUCUUCCCGCACCUUUCAAUUCCGAUGUUAUCAAGGAUUAUUUCAGGUUCUCAAAAUAAAACACUUUGAUCUUUCGAUCAAUGACGAACACUUGACAAUUGUUUCUUUUUAAUUUCGAAUUGCUCGGAUAUCUUAAAGGGGAAGCUGGAGACGGGUCUAUUUUAUCGAUAAAGCAGUAAUUUUUGUCGAAUAACUAUGUCUCAUCGCUUUUAUAGAUUUGAAAAUCCUUUUCCGUGAAAGUAUUACUACCAGUCUGAAUUACGGAAUUUAUGAAAAUCGGAAAAAAUUUAUAACUCAUUCGAUAUUUCUUAUUAUUUCUUAGUUCAGAAUGGCGUGUGGGGCUGUCACAGCAUAACAAUUUGCUUGAUGACAAAAAAUCUGCAAUUUGUACUCACGACAAUUCGCGAGGUUCCAGACACGUAGAUGACAGGAACAAACAAUGUGGAGUUUCUAAAGUUAGACUUUGACGCCUAAUUGAGACGAAAUCGUUCUACGUAAAUUUAGACGUAAAUUUAGACACGUGCGAGACGUACAUACAUACGUACGUAAGUAGAAUAACAUGAAAAAUAUUUUGUCGUUUUCGAUAUAAAGUCCAAUUCACAGGCUGAUAUUAAUACGUGUUUUUUUUUAUUUUGAAAAAGGAUUUUCCAAAUCUAUAAAAGAAAUACAUGCAAAAUCUUGAUAAUAAUGUGCAUUAAUUCUGCAUCAUCGACUUUUUCAUCAAAUUCGAUCGUCAUUCCAGUAUUACCUUAACUUUUACGGCAAAGAGGUAGGUUCUGGUACACCAUGUACGUAUGUCUGUACGCAGUAUACUCGCUUCUCUCUCCCCUCUCUUCCCUCGCUCCCUGAAGUCCUUUUAAAGCCACCCCUCGCUACCUCCCGUCCGCGGUGCAUCCCUAACGUCCGUUUCUCUCGCCAAUACCGAACGUCGUAGUAUCGGUUUGUAUACACACGGACGGGAGGGAUACGUAGGGCGUACCUAAUUAAACUUGGGGAAAGCGACCAGGCACGUCGUAGACUUUCAGCACACGAGAAGAGAGAUAGAAUCUUCUUGCCUCCCCCCUUUCCGCGCGACUCCUUAUUAAAGUCGCAACCCUUAAAGACCCGGUAUUUUAUUCCACAUACGUCACACGCUUAGAAAUCCCGCUGUUUUCACGCACUCACGGCGAAAUUCUUCAGUUCCUCGUCUCAGCGAUAUUAACUGUCCAAGCUAGGACACACCGAUCCAGGUGACUUUUCCUAUCUUGCCGAUUUUGCCUCAAAUUCGGACGUGUCUAAAAAAAAGCCGAAAACGUUGUGGCUCAUAUAAUUAUACAAUCGCGUAUUUUCAAACAUUCAUAGAGCAUACUAUAAUUUUUUCUUGAACUCGAAAUUUUUUCGAAAAACAACCGUCUUCUAAGUGUUAAUUGAUCUAAUUAAGUAAUAAAAAAACAGGUUAGUCUAGAGUUAAUUUGAACAAAACGAGUAACGUGUAUUAUAUUAUAUAUCUUAAUAACAACUACGUUUUGUAAUAACGAUAAUAACAUUAGAUUUAACUAUAAUGACGCUCAUAAUAUUAAUAGCUGAUGCGCCACGAGACAAGGGGGUCUUUCUUUCAACAGACCGAGUGCUCUCUUUUUCUUCUUGCCGGCCUUAACUCCCCUCUUCCCCCCGAGAGAGGGGCUCUAGAUCCCCCCAAAAAGGCUUCGAUUCUUUUUACAUGAUUUUUCGUACGCUUCCUUGACGCUCCCGUUCUCGCGGUUCAAGUAUUUAUUGUCCGGCGACGUUGAAGGGCUUCGACGAGAUGAAACAAGGGGGUGACGGCUGAAAGGGGGAGGAGAAGGGCGGCUAGGCGGCGGCGGCUUUUGUUCGGCCGCGGAUUGAAAUUUAGCGUGGAAUUACAAUGAGUCGCCGAGGAAGCGGCGAGAUUACCUUUCUCAGCUGAUGCUACCUUCGACGAAGGCUUCGCUUCAUGGCUCUCCUGCCAUGUUGUCCGAUUUAUGCAUGAAAGGGCCGGCAUCUCUCGCCGGCCGGUCGGCCGGCAAUCGGCCUUUUUCUUUUCCCCCUCGAUUUUUCCGCCCCUUAUUUCUCCGUCAGCCAGCCGGACCGAGAGCUUAUCCGUUAUUAGCCGAGAGCCUCCUGUUAUCAGCAGAAUUCCUCUCAAUAACACGCGGGUUCUCUUUUGUAAUUAAAAUAGCCCCUCGCUGCACACUUAUAAAAUUAUACAUCUAUCGAAAGAGGCCGCGCGCGCACGCACGCACGCUGGAAAAGCGAGAGAGAGAGAGAGAGAGAGAGAGAGAGAGAGAGCCGCGGCGCAUCGAUGGAGAAUUUUCCUCCCCGAGACAACUUGAGACCCUUUUGAGAUCUCGGGAGAACCGAGUUUGCCGCGUUAGAAGCUGCCGUUAAUCGCGGGAAAAUCCGAAACUUAGCUCGGCCCGCGAUCUCCGUAAUUACGUCGUAGCCUUGUACCGCGUACAAGGCUCAAAAAUCCAAGGUUGCCGGUGGUAAUUACGCGGCCCCGGGAUAACGGAGAUCCGAGGUCGCGGUUCGAGGAACGCAUGGGAAUCGUGCCGUUCGCCCAAUCUGUAUCGAAUAAAAAUAUACUUCUAUUUAAUUGUGCACAUGUAUAAAUAUUUUGUAUUUUUCUUUAAUUAUUAGUUACGUGUUAUGUAUACAUAAUAAAUGUUAUUUCUUAUUUAUCAGAAUUUUAUACAAAUACGUACGUUCCUCUCUAAAACUCGUAAUUUAAAUUUAAAAUUACAUGAUGACAAAUAAUCACAGAAUUGAAUAAUGCAAAAUAUUUGCAUGCAUCCCAAGUAGAACACGUACUGGUAAAGCAAAGUUUUUCCAUCAUUUCUUCACAUGUAUAAGAAUUAAUAUGAAAUAAGAAAAUUAAUUUUCGAAACCGGGAAACCCCAGGAUUCACAUUCAUAUGUGUAAUAAAAUAUUUUUUUUCAAAACGAAAAUAAAAUUGCAUUAUUCUGAUUGUGGACAGUGAAUAUAAGUAAAAUUUCUUAAGUAAGAAAAACGUACGUCUUUCUACAAAACCCUUCAAAUUUGCAUUUGAAAAUAGUGCACAAGCACAAAACGCAAAGAAUAAUGUAGAACAAUAUUUAUAUCCGACUAAGUGGUGGCGCUUUUGUACAGCUAGAAGGACGAAACUAAAUUUGGCACGCCGUAGAGAACUUCUUCUGGCUGUCGGGUAAAAGAGAAACGCGGGACGCCGUUUUCCCCUUCGCGCGCUCUCGACCUCGCCUCGGCCUUGUUUGGGCUUCGGAUAAAAUCCCCUCGGUGGCUCCCCCGGGGGCGCGAUUCGGCAUGGUAGUCUUUAAAGCGCAGUUUCGGAAUAGGAAUGUGGGCACAAGGCGGCAUUUCGCUGCGAGCGCACCCGCCGCCUCGCCCCGGCAUCUCCGCGUAGCUAAUUACCUCGUUACUAAUGAAACUAAUUGCUAUCCUACCCGCCGCGCUCUUUGAUCUAGCCCCCGUUUAAAGAUUUCGCCGUAAUCCUCCCGGCGCUCUCUCUCUCUCUUUCUCUUUCUCUCUCUCUCUCUCUCACUCUCUCCUCGCCAUUCGUCCGCCUUGUCGGGCGCACACCCAGCCGCGUAAUGCACCUUCCGCAUUAAGUCCCGCGCUGCAUCGCGCACGUGGCGCGAUCUAAAUAACGCAAGAUCAAGAAUUCGCGAAGAAUCACCUUCGCAGCAAACUGCAGCGAGAGAUGAUGUUGCCUGUGACAGAGUCGCGCGGCUCAGUCGCGAAAUUCGUUACCCUUUCAGAGUUUCUCUCUUUGCAAUUAGAAAUUAAGAGGCUUUUUAGUGAGAGAUUUUAGAAAAUUAAACGCAAAAUUAAGAAAAUUAGUAAACAAUUUCGAGAUUUUUUUUUAGCUCUGUUUAAUUUUAUUUAAUUCGAGAGAUGUAUCUAUAUAUUUGUUAUUUUUAUCUUUGACGUAUUUAUCUUUUUGCUUGACAAUAUAUUAGUCUAAAAUUUAAUAAACCGGCUCCAAAAAUAAUUUUUUUAAAUAUACAUUUUGUUUUAAAAAUUUAACUACAAUUUCGUACAUUACAUUACUCUCAUGUUAUUUGCCCAUGAGUUGUUUCGACUUUAAUUUAAAAAAUGUUGAAUAUCAAUUUAACGCAAAAUAUUCUGAUAACAUAAAUACAUUAUGUUAAAUUAGCACUCAGGUAUGUUAAAAACUCAAGAUAAACAAUUUUAAUAUAUACACAAAAUAUUUUCUACCGUGUAAUUGCAUUAGAAAGUUCUACUUAAACAAGAAUUAGGCAAAGAAAUGUCACAGGGGCUGGGGGUUAUCUCACAAUUAAAAGUUGAAAGGCGCGUGGUCGACAUCUACACGGGCAGUCCCGAAUCCCUCGUGGGAAAGCCGAGGGAUGCUCGGCAAAAAGUUUCCGCGGCGAAGCCACGUCUCGCCUAAUAAGAUCAAUUUUUCGAUAACGAAGUGUUUUGUGUUCUCGCUAACGUAUGGGGUAGUUGGGAAUCGAUGGAGGCGGCGGUUUGGCUCGAUGGUGCGAGGCGCUUGUUGCCGCUUUAAAAUCAGCCCCCGAAAGUCGCUAAUGUCCCGGACGGGGGAUCCCUGUCCGUUUCCGAGGGGGGGAUUUCCUCUAUCGAACGGAGGGGCAAUGGCUCGUGCGGGACGAUCGGAAACUGUUAAGACACAGUGUUAUCGGAUAGCGUAUCGGAAGAAGGCGACGCUUUUAAUUUCUUCUCGCGGCUGGCAAUUUCUCGUCGUCCGCUUGCAGCUUUCCUUCGACAUAUACGUACCGAGUACGUUUACAUUAUGUACAGAGUGUUUCUAAAGGGAAGGAACAUUUUGAAUUUGUUUUUACAAUAAUUUCGUUACGGAUAAACAGAAAUAAUUUACUUGAUAAAAUUUUUAUUGCAUAUUUGUGAAAUUUAUUAGCGUGCUUGAUUCAUGGAAGUAUAUUUGAUCACUUCACCGUUGCUGAGCGCGCGAAAUUCUAGUCAUUUAUUAUUUUCCGACUCUUCUCAUUUGAAAAUUAUACCCUCAUUUUCAAUGUUGUUUUAGAAUGUCGCAAAGAAUCUGUCAACGUAUUGAUCGCCAGUUUAUUAAAGAGAGCCUGUACAUAAUAUGAUUUUGUACAUUAACGAUGAAGAUUGUUAUUAUUAAAUUUUAUUUUAUUACUUUUUAAUUUUAAUAUUAAAUUAUUGUUUGUUUAUUUUGUGACAGCCCAUACUUUGGCUUUAACUCUGUUUUGUAUAUAUAUAUUUAUUUAAUUUUAUUAUUACAAAAUUGAAGAGAAAAAAGAAACCUGAAAUUGAAAAUCCCUUAAAAGCCAUCGACAAAACGCAGAUACAAACGCGCAAAAACAUAUAACAAAACACGAUGACUUUUAUCACGAAAGCUCCGCGUCGCAGAUGUUUAUAUUUCGCAAGUUUACAUAAACUUUUAAAUGCUUCUAAUCGCGAAAUUUUUGUCUCUCUAGCCGAAGUCUAGCAAAUCGCCUUCGCGAGCUGAUAAAUGACAUUUUUUCCGACGUCUUCUGAAAGAAAGUCGAGUCACCCAGCAGCAUCGCGAAACACCCCCCUCCCCUUUCUAUUCCCUCGUAAUCGCGGGAUGUCUCCGUUAGGCUGAGCCGCUUCGGAAGCGGAGGAAAUCGGAGGCAUUAGUUUAUCGGUGACGUUCUUCAGGAAUGCAUUCCUGGCACCCCAUUCAUUCUCGUCGAUUUUCUUCGGCGACGUCGCGCGCGUAUCUAAUGCGAGGAACAAACGUCGCGCCGGCGAGAUACGAGCGAUUUUUCAUUUUCGUGGCCCACUAAAUAAAUGCGCUGGAAGCACCCCCAAAAAGAGAGGGGGGAGGGGGGGAAGAAAGAAGAGAGAGAACGAAGCGAUUGUCGAGCGCCCUCGUAAUGUUCGAAUUUGCCGGGUAAAGAUUCAGGGACUCGAAAGGACGAAAAAAUUAUGAAGCCCUUGAGAGCGGAGGUGGAAAGAGCCCCUUCGAAGAAAAUUAAUAUGCAAGAGGACGCACCCCCGCGCAUUUUCGCGAUGAAUUCGUCGCCGCGCUGGCGAGUGUGGCGAUCUUUUUUUUUUUUUUUUUUGUUUUACCUCUUCAAUCGCGGGUAGUCACUUUGUCGCGAAUGAAACAGCGACGCCUGAGUGACCCGAAUGCUAAAAUAAACGGACCAAUGGCCGUACGGUCCGUCCGUCCGUCCGUUCUUCUCCUAGAUGAGAAUACAUCAGGCGUCCAUCAAAGUGUCCCGCGCGCGCGACGAUACCGCGCAGAAUCUCUUUCCAAAUCGGGUUUCGAUUCGAGCGUGAGUCGAUAAGUCGAGCGGGAUACGCGAACGAGCGAGUCGUCGACGUGCGAGCGUACGUCAUUUUCUUUCCCGCGAAGAAAAAGCUAAAUAGAGAGAUAUAUAUAUAUACCGAGAAUGUCGCGCGCGGUUUUACUCAGAUUCCGUUUUCGCGGAAGAAUAAGAGGCCGAUUAAUAAUUCUCGCCGAGCGAGAAGCGAAAUCGAUCGCCGGCGAGCGUCAAGCGCAUUCGAGAGCGAAUCCUCGCGCCGGGCGAUCGAUCGCAAUUCUCGCCCGCUGUUUUAAACACGGUCCUCGAAUUCGGAAGGACAUGAGAGGAGACGGGUGGGGGGGCGAGGGGAAAGGGGAGUCCAGGGCAAUGGGGAGGAUGGGAUACAGAGGGAACAAUGAAUUAUUUUUGACCUCUCUGUUACGUGAAUUCCGCGCUCUCGGAAAAUCUCGCCGACACAUCGCCUUCAUAUUAGCUUUGUUUACAUGGCGGAAGGUAAUUAGUCGAGAAUCGACGAUUUUUCACGAGCGCUGCGCUCGCGGAAAAUGGAAUUUCAAUGAUUGCCGACAAAGUCAAUCAAGCGCAGAAUGUAAUUAUUGCGGAAAUAAAAAAAAAAACGCGGAGAGGGAGGAGAGGGGAAGAGGGAGGGGGGAGGGGAUGAAAAAGUGGUACGCUUCGAAAAUCGCGCGUGUUAUUACAAACUGCGCCAUUUUGUUAAACAAAUUAAACAUAAUGACGUGUGCGCGCAACACAGGCGCGCGCGGAGUGCGGCAAUUUUAUUUUUAAUUUGACGUGUCUGUUAAUAAUCGAAAUUAAUCUGAAAUAAUCGAUGCAAUCGUACAAAUAAAAGGGCAUACCUUUUUAAUGUCACCUCAAAAUUACAUUUUAAAUAAAACGGAAUUACGGGACAAUCAAUAUCGAUAUUACGUUGGCAAUUAAGGUAAACUCCCGUCGACAAUAAAAGUCCCGAGAUAUAAAAGUUCCAACCGUCCGCCCGCGGAAGAAAAACGUCGCGCGCUUUCUUCUUCUGAGGAAAUGCUAAAAAUCAGCGAACGUUACACUUCCAAUUAUCUUUGCACGUAUGUCCCUUUUCUACCACAUAACGGCGCGAACAUUUUCUACAGAAAAAAGAUCAUCGCCGAGCGUCUUGAGAGUUUUCGGUAAAAUUGCCUUCUCUCUCUCUCUCUUUCUCUCUCUCUCUCUCUUUCUCUCUCUAACCCCGAAGAAAUGAAACAUGUCGGGAAACGGGAAGCACCACUGGACUCUCGAAGUGGCUUGUUCGCGAAAUAAAGUCGCGGUAUCAGGGGUUAAGCGGAUAGAUAGAGAGCGGGAAAGAGCAAAAGAUAGGGAGAAGGAAAGAGGAAAACUACUAGAUGGAACCAGUCAGGGUUCACCACCCCGCUCAUCCUUGCAGUCGCUGUCACAGCUCUCUCUCUCUCUCUCUCUCUCGCUCGCUCGCUAUAUAGUUUAGUCGAACCCCGUGGCCAAUGGCGGUACGCAGCUGAGCCAUUAUUGGAAACUCGUUACAUGCACGGUGCCACCAGCGCCGCCGUUACAAAGGCGCUGGCCCCCGGUGGCUGGCCGUGUUACACGAGUACCCGAGGAGGAGCGAGAGAGGAAGACCCGCGCGCCGCCGUCGUCGUCGUCGUCGUCGUUAGAUCGCAAGCCGACGUUAUAAUGCGCUGCCGACUGACGUGACGCAGUACAUUGCAUCGUAUAUCGCGAUGGGCGAGGGGGAUGAGACGAGGGUUGUCUCCGUUUACGCUCGGGUGCACGCGGGGCGCCGAAUUUCUCGUCCCGUCUCCCCCAGCCCUUCGAAGUUAAACGUCUCGUUUCCGCCCUCGGCGUGUGUGUGUGCGGCUUCUCCCUUUCCGGGGGAAGAGAGAUGCUCUCGCUCCGAAUUAUUAUCGUCAUCUAUACGCCGUAAUUUACAUGCAGAUAUCGGACGUCACACAUUGUCCCACAAUUAGCAGAUUUGGAGGGUAAAUUUCAAGAGAAAAUUCUCUCCGUGCAUCAGAGGGACACGCGAUAACGGGGGGAUCCCCUCGAAGUUUCCCGAGCUCGAAAAUUUUGCGCAACUCGGACGAAAAUCCGGUAUCUCUCGCGGUAUAUUUUCGAUCCGUCACUUUUACUCGAUUUCUUGCACGAAGUUUCCGUGAGAUUCCGCCUCGUAUGUACAACACCGCUCGUACCGCGGCGUGAUGAAUCACUUAUGCUAAUCCGGGAAAUAGAAAGACCGAUUUCGGCGGUUCUAGUUCCUCACUAGAAGCAUUAAGUCCCGCACGAGCGUGUCACUCGGUCACGCGAUGACGGCCUCAUGAAUCAUCGGCGGGUAUACCCCCCUCCCCCCCCCUUUCCCCCCGCGUGAUUCCCCCACGGGGGUUGGAGGAGGUUGUGCAAUCCGAGCGGACGCGGUGGCGCGCGCUUCAUAUCGACGAAAUCUGAGCUAUCGGCGAGCGGGGUCGGUCACGGGGGCGGCAGGGGUGAAGGGGAUGCGUAUCGCGUGUCCUGGAUCAUCGGGUGAUCUCCUGGCCGAUCCUGGUACGUGGGAUACACGCGCGCGUAUGCCUUUGGGCCGCCCGAAACCGUAUUCGCGCUGAUUGCCGUCCGGCGAUCCGCGAUUAAUUUACUGCGUAAACGCGUGAAACCGGACCGAGCCGUUAAUUCCUAACUAUUAAUUGCCUCUCGGCCGCGGCAAAAUACAGAGGGGGAGACGCGUCUCGUUUGAGAAGAGUUUCUGCAAGGUAAUAUAAAUGAGGGGAAUCUAAAAUGCGUCGUUGUCGGCUUAAAGUGUUCGAUCUGACUCCGAUAGAAAAGUGAAGUUAAACGAAAAACGCUUAUUCUAAUAUGGACAUGAAUUUUUGGAGGUUAUUUUAAUAGAUAAUUUAAACAUCUUUUUUCAGAACGCCGUUCAUUAAAUUAGAUCCUCAGUAAGUUAACGAUAAUAAUGAUUUUAUUAAAUUAUGUCCUUAGUUAUUUGCUCUGCAAUUAUGCGAUUGCAUUCCCCGAUUGCAGAAAUACUUCAUUUUUUUUUUCAGAGCGUCUUUAAUUAUUCGCAUGUUUUCCUUGGCUCAAACGUCUUACGGAUCGUACGAGGUGUUUUUCUCAGAACGUGUCGCGAACUCCUUCCCGCAACCUAUCCUGAUCCGCAAAAAGGGUGGCGUAUUGUUUCAGGCUCUCCUUACGUAUCCGACGCACCUUUAUCGUGUAUUUUUAUUAGGAGUUAUUCUCCCCCUCCUCUCUUUUUUCCUCCUUCGCCAGUACCUCGCGUCGAUUCCUCUUUUGAAUCUUCUUCUACUCUUCCUCUCCCUUUCUAGCUCGGGGGGAUCGACGUAACGAUCCACUUAUGGAAAAUGCCACGGUAAAGGAAGAAAGGCUCUUGUCGCUCACUCGGACAUCAUCCCCCUCGCAACCCCUUUCUCUAUUCCUUCCUCUUCCCAUCCCUCAUCCCUACUCUGCUCCGUCGACCUGCUUAUCCCUCGUCCCCGUCCAUUCGCUAUUCUGCUUUUUUUUUUUCGGGGAAGAGAAUCCUCUUAGUCUUCUAGUGGCUCGUCGUCGUCCUCGCGCUCCUCGGAAUAUGCUUUAGGUUUAUAAAAUCGCGCCUAUAUAUUGCGAGCUUCGGUAACAGGUGCGCCUAUAGGGUGCCCCCAAAAAUAUAUUUGUAUAGGAAAAAGAAGGGAGUUGUUAGAUAUCGUUUCGUUCUUUUGUUUUUUAGAAAUAAUUGAGAAGAUAUUCCUGUGACAUAACUAUCCUUAUGGAAAUUUAUUAACAAAGAUUCGUUACUCGUUUUAGCUAAAAUUUCUUCAAAUAAGCAAUGUGAACAGAGCUAACAAAAAUCUGAAAAAAAUUGGGGUUAUAAACGAUGGAAUAUUAAUUAGUUUUGUCUUUCAUUAAUCUAGCAGCCUUCGCAUCUUAGUUAUGAAAAAAAGUUAAAAAAUUGUAGAACCAGAAUCCCUUUAUGUAAAUAUACUUUUAAUAAUUAAAACUAAUUUGGAACCGUCCAUCGUUAAAUCACUUCAACUAUGAGGUAUCCAAUCACUCUUAUAGUAUAGAUUUACACAUCGGAUAUAUUUCGUAAUCAAAUAUUCAAUUAUACUAUUUGAAAACUAUCCAAGGCAUACAAGUUACACUAAAGUCACAACAUUGAUAUUCCCACAUUUCUGAAAAUUAUUACAACACUUACAGGAUUUUCGAAUACAGACAGUAUAUAAACUAUAUAUAGACUUUCAGGUUCUUAAAGUUCUGGAAUUGUGUAAACUCAUAAAUUUCAAGAAGAUUCUAUUUUUUGAAAAGUCCGUAUUGGCAGAUGUCUUUUUUUACGUGAUUCUUUAAUGGGUGUUAAAUCAUUAACGUCAAUGCUUCUAUGUCAAGUCAAUUCCAUAAUUUGCCCAAAUUUCCCGCUUAUCCGCCGCUUAUAGAACGUCAUAAUCAAAUUGCACCUCGACUUACGUAAUUAAAGAAUCAAGGAUCUGUCGAUGGAUUUGUCGGAUCAUUCACUCUGAAAUUAAUUUGCAAAAUUGAAUCCGUUCUUAAAGGAAAAAAAAAAA